AUUGAACGCUGGCGGCAGGCCUAACACAUGCAAGUCGAGCAGAUGAAGGGAGCUUGCUCCUGGAUUCAGCGGCGGACGGGUGAGUAAUGCCUAGGAAUCUGCCUGGUAGUGGGGGAUAACGUCCGGAAACGGGCGCUAAUACCGCAUACGUCCUGAGGGAGAAAGUGGGGGAUCUUCGGACCUCACGCUAUCAGAUGAGCCUAGGUCGGAUUAGCUAGUUGGUGGGGUAAAGGCCUACCAAGGCGACGAUCCGUAACUGGUCUGAGAGGAUGAUCAGUCACACUGGAACUGAGACACGGUCCAGACUCCUACGGGAGGCAGCAGUGGGGAAUAUUGGACAAUGGGCGAAAGCCUGAUCCGGCCAUGCCGCGUGUGUGAAGAAGGUCUUCGGAUUGUAAAGCACUUUAAGUUGGGAGGAAGGGCAGUAAGUUAAUACCUUGCUGUUUUGACGUUACCAACAGAAUAAGCACCGGCUAACUUCGUG
Molecule: ribosomal RNA, 484 nt
Filed under: uncultured bacterium
Lineage: Bacteria
Description: partial 16S ribosomal RNA
Rfam family: Bacterial small subunit ribosomal RNA
Source: RNAcentral